GACGAACGCUGGCGGUGUGCUUCACACAUGCAAGUCGAACGAGGUAGCAAUACCUAGUGGCGGACGGGUGAGUAACGCGUGGGAAUCUGCCCAAGGGUGGGAAUAACUAGCCGAAAGGUUAGCUAAUACCGCAUACGUUUCCGGAACUUCGGUUUCGGAAAGAAAGCAAUACCGUGGGUAUUGCGCUCCUGGAUGGGCGCAUGUCCUAUCAGCUUGUUGGUGAGGUAACGGCUCACCAAGGCUUCGACGGGUAGCUGGUCUGAGAGGACGAUCAGCCACACUGGCACUGCGACACGGGCCAGACUCCUACGGGAGGCAGCAGUAAGGAAUAUUGCGCAAUGGACGAAAGUCUGACGCAGCGACGCCGCGUGGGGGAUGAAGGUCUUCGGAUUGUAAACCCCUUUCGGGAGGGAAGAUGGAGUGGGUAACCACUUGGACGGUACCUCCAGAAGCAGCCACGGCUAACUUCGUGCCAGCAGCCGCGGUAAU
RNAcentral lists this ribosomal RNA (489 nucleotides) under uncultured bacterium. RNAcentral's name for it is "bacterial SSU rRNA". It matches the Rfam family "Bacterial small subunit ribosomal RNA", at positions 28 to 524 of the family's 1533-position model. The record is from RNAcentral.